Long non-coding RNA from Suricata suricatta (meerkat), 852 nucleotides. RefSeq lists it as uncharacterized. The transcript has 2 exons. The record is from RefSeq and is a predicted model, not a curated record. Lineage: Eukaryota; Metazoa; Chordata; Mammalia; Carnivora; Herpestidae.
CGUAGCAACCGGCGUCGACUCACCCUCCGGCGGCCCCCGCCCGGGCGCUGAGGUCUCGGUCGCCAGGGACACGGCGGGGCGGGGCAGUGGCUGUCCUCGCCGCCCCUCGCCUGCCGGGCCGCGCCCUCGGCCCCUCCCCGGAGCUGUGCCCACCCUCCGACCCCCGGAGGAAGGGGACAGACCCCGGCGGAGGACACGGCGCCGCCUGGCCUCGGGCCGCCCGCGAGGGCCCCGCGUGGCCCGAGCGCGACCCUCAGCCAGCCGGCGUUUCUCUCCCGGAGAGAGGCCUUUGUUUGCCGUCUGACUGCCCCAGUUUUCUGUUCCAGUCUCCCUUCCCACCAGGCCCCAACCUGGGCUCCGGUUCGGGCGACGAGGAGCAGGUGGCGGUCCGGGGCGGUGUCGUUCCCCUCCCCUCCGGUCGCCCAGGAAAUCUCUCCCUCGCUUGGCCACCUGCCUUAGGGGAGGAGACACUGGGCUCUGCUCACGCCACGCUGCUCCCGUCCCUGGUUCGCUCCCCGACUCCCGUGCCUUCCUCUGACGUCUGGGUGACAGUCGCCUGCUUACCCUGGCUGCAGACUGACCAGGCAGCCGCUGGCAGACGGUGAAGGGCUGAACCCCAAAGCCCGGGGACCAGGCAGGGGCUAGCGGUAAUCUGCCGCCAUGCCCCGCCGGCUCUGCCUCAACGGACCCAUUUUUGGCCGAGGGCAAUCCUAACUACCUCCUCUUGCUAGAGGGCCUCACUCAUCUUGUUCAGGUUCAGACGUGGGGAAGGCCGUCUGUGGGAGGUGUUUUUCCUCACCCCAAGCGGCAUUUUGACAAGGACUAAUAAAAUGCAGGUGGUCCGAAGCAAAA